AGAGUUUGAUCAUGGCUCAGGACGAACGCUGGCGGCGUGGAUUAGGCAUGCAAGUCGAACGGUAGAAUCCUUUCGGGGAUUUGAGAGUGGCGAACGGGUGAGUAACGCGUAGGUUAUCUGCCUUUCAAAUGGGGGACAACCCAGGGAAACCUGGGCUAAUACCGCAUGUGUCCGGUAACGGAUAAAGAUGGCUUUAUGCUGUCGUUUGAAGAUGAGCCUGCGUCCUAUUAGCUAGAUGGUGGGGUAAAAGCCUACCAUGGCGAUGAUAGGUAGGCGGCCUUAACGGGUGGUCGCCCACACUGGGAUUGAGAUACGGCCCAGAUUCCUACGGGAGGCAGCAGUCGAGAAUAGUCUACAAUGGACGAAAGUCUGAUAGUGCGACGCCGCGUGAAUGAAGAAACCUUUCGGGGUGUAAAAUUCUUUUCUGUGCGAGCAGGGGCCUUAUGAGUAAUAUGCAUUUGGUCUGGAUAUUAGUACAGGAAUAAGCCACGGCUAACUCCGUGCCAGCAGCCGCGGUAACACGGGGGUGGCAAGCGUUGUCCGGAAUUACUAGGCGUAAAGGGCAGGUAGGCGGAUUUAUAAGUCAGACGUUAAAGACCUCGUCUCAAGCGGGGAGCGGCGUUUGAUACUGUAGAUCUUGGAUAUGGUGGGGGAAGACGGAAUUCCAGGUGUAGCGGUGGAAUGCGCAGAUAUCUGGAGGAACACCCAAGGCGAAGGCAGUCUUCUACGCCACAAUCGACGCUAAACUGCGAAGGUGUGGGGAUCAAACAGGAUUAGAUACCCUGGUAGUCCGCACAGUAAACGAUAGACACUAGGUGUUGGGGGAGACGAAUCCUUCAGUGCCGUAGCUAACGCGUUAAGUGUCUCGCCUGGGGAGUACGAUCGCAAGGUUGAAACUUAAAUGAAUUGACGG
RNAcentral lists this ribosomal RNA (913 nucleotides) under uncultured bacterium. Its description in RNAcentral is "bacterial SSU rRNA". It matches the Rfam family "Bacterial small subunit ribosomal RNA", at positions 8 to 916 of the family's 1533-position model. The record is from RNAcentral.